Molecule: transfer RNA, 82 nt
Filed under: Salmo salar (Atlantic salmon)
Lineage: Eukaryota; Metazoa; Chordata; Actinopteri; Salmoniformes; Salmonidae
Rfam family: tRNA
About the family: Transfer RNA (tRNA) molecules are approximately 80 nucleotides in length. Their secondary structure includes four short double-helical elements and three loops (D, anti-codon, and T loops).
Source: Rfam by way of RNAcentral
GCUGCGAUGGCCGAGUGGUUAAGGCGUUGGACUUGAAAUCCAAUGGGGUCUCCCCACACAUGUUUUAACCUUGCUCGAAGCG